RNAcentral lists this ribosomal RNA (1078 nucleotides) under Veillonella sp. RNAcentral describes it as "partial 23S ribosomal RNA". It matches the Rfam family "Bacterial large subunit ribosomal RNA", at positions 1851 to 2925 of the family's 2925-position model. The record is from RNAcentral. Lineage: Bacteria; Bacillati; Bacillota; Negativicutes; Veillonellales; Veillonellaceae.
ACUGACGCCUGCCCGGUGCCGGAAGGUUAAGAGGAUCCGUCAGCCUUCGGGUGAAGCGGUGAAUUCAAGCCCCGGUAAACGGCGGUGGUAACUAUAACCAUCCUAAGGUAGCGAAAUUCCUUGUCGGGUAAGUUCCGACCUGCACGAAUGGCGUAACGACUUCCCCACUGUCUCGACCAGGAGCUCGGCGAAAUUGCAGUACGAGUAAAGAUGCUCGUUAAGCGCAGAAGGACGAAAAGACCCCGGGACCUUUACUAUACCUUGGUAUUGGCAUUCGGUGUGGAUUGUGUAGCAUAGGCGGGAGGCCGAGAGGCGCGGUCGCCAGAUCGCGCGGAGCCGUAAGGUGAAAUACCGCUCUGUUCGCAUUGGAUGUCUAACCUCGAACAGUCAUCCUGUUCAGGGACAGUGCCUGGCGGGUAGUUUAACUGGGGCGGUUGCCUCCCAAAGAGUAACGGAGGCGCCCAAAGGUCCGCUCAGCCCGGUUGGCAAUCGGGUGGCGAGUGCAAGUGCACAAGCGGGCUUGACUGCGAGGACGACGGUCCGAGCAGGGACGAAAGUCGGGACUAGUGAUCCGGUGCCGGUGUACGGACGCGGCAUCGCUCAACGGAUAAAAGGUACCCCGGGGAUAACAGGCUGAUCAUUCCCAAGAGUCCAUAUCGACGGGAUGGUUUGGCACCUCGAUGUCGGCUCGUCGCAUCCUGGGGCUGGAGCAGGUCCCAAGGGUUCGGCUGUUCGCCGAUUAAAGCGGCACGCGAGCUGGGUUCAGAACGUCGUGAGACAGUUUGGUCUCUAUCCUCUGCGCUCGUUGGAAUGCUGAGGAGGCCUGCCCAUAGUACGAGAGGACCUGGGUGGACGAACCUCUGGUAUGCCGGUUGUCACGCCAGUGGCACGGCCGGUUGGCUACGUUCGGAAGGGAUAACCGCUGAAAGCAUCUAAGCGGGAAGCCUGCUCCAAGAUAAGCAUUCCGUGGAACCUUCGAGUUCCUGUAGUCCCCAUGCAGAACACGUGGUCGAUAGGCCGGACGUGGAAGCCCCGCGAGGGGUGGAGCCGACCGGUACUAACGGACGAAAGGCAACAC